CGUAGGUGGCAAGCGUUGUCCGGAAUUACUGGGUGUAAAGGGAGUGUAGGCGGGAUAUCAAGUCAGAAGUGAAAAUUACGGGCUCAACUCGUAACCUGCUUUUGAAACUGACAUUCUUGAGUGAAGUAGAGGCAAGCGGAAUUCCUAGUGUAGCGGUGAAAUGCGUAGAUAUUAGGAGGAACACCAGUGGCGAAGGCGGCUUGCUGGGGCUUUUACUGACGCUGAGGCUCGAAAGCGUGGGGAGCAAACAGGAUU
RNAcentral lists this ribosomal RNA (255 nucleotides) under uncultured bacterium. RNAcentral describes it as "partial 16S ribosomal RNA". It matches the Rfam family "Bacterial small subunit ribosomal RNA", at positions 526 to 779 of the family's 1533-position model. The record is from RNAcentral.